GAUUCAUGAUCGCCUCCUCCGUGAAACGUUAACGAAAUUCUCGUUUCAAAUUACACGUCCACCCAGCAUUACAACGACCUUCACAGUCUCCUCUCCUUUCUCGUCUCACAAACACACGCACAUCCUUCCCCACCCCCCACCUCUCCUCUCUCUGGAUUCCAUUGUCCGAAUUUAUUUUUUUUUUUUAUUUUUUUGCGCUUGAUACCAAAUCUGUUGAUGCCAAAAUGUCAUUCUCGGAUUCCGAUUCGUCUUCUCAUGGCGGAGCCACAGAGUACAAAACUUUCCGGCAGAUCAGCCGUGACCGAUUGUUGUAUGAAAUGCUUUGCUCAACGAAAACAGGGGAUUCAAAGUCAACUUGGAAGGUACUCAUCAUGGAUAAAGUUACCGUCAAAGUCAUGUCUCACUCGUGUAAAAUGGCAGACAUUACAGACCAAGGAGUUUCACUGGUCGAAGACCUCUUCAGGAGAAGGCAACCCUUGCCAUCCAUGGAUGUUAUUUAUUUCAUCCAGCCCUCAAAAGAAAAUGUUGUCAUGUUUUUGUCUGACAUGUCUGGAAGGGAGCCUUUAUACAAAAAGGCGUUUGUAUUUUUCAGUUCACCAAUCCCAAAGGAACUUGUAAAUCACAUCAAGAGUGAUACAAGUGUUGUACCCCGCAUAGGUGCAUUGAGAGAGAUGAAUUUGGAGUAUUUUCCUAUAGAUAACCAGGCUUUUAUCACUGAUCAUGAUAGAGCAUUGGAAGAACUUUUUGGUGAUGUUGAAAACCCUCGCAAGUUUGAGGCUUGCUUGAACGUGAUGGCAACUCGACUUGCUACAGUGUUUGCUUCGUUGAAAGAGCUUCCAUUUGUGUGGUUUCGUACUGCCAAGGCACUUGAUGACUCUCCAACAUCAACAUUUCGUGAUUUAGUUCCUACAAAGCUUGCUGCGGCAGUUUGGAACUCUAUUUCAAUGUAUAAAUCUACCAUUCCCAACUUUCCACAGACUGAAACGUGCGAGCUUCUCAUCUUGGGUAGAUCUGUUGAUCAGAUUGCUCCUGUCAUACAUGAAUGGACUUAUGAUGCAAUGUGCCAUGAUCUGUUGGAUAUGGAGGGAAAUAAAUAUACAUACGAGGUUCCUAGCAAAACAGGCGGUCAAACCGAAAGAAAGGAGGCUCUUAUGGAAGACCGUGAUCCAAUCUGGCUCGAGCUUCGUCAUGCACACAUAGCAGAUGCUAGUGAACGUUUGCAUGAGAAGAUGACCAAUUUCGUAUCAAAGAACAAAGCUGCACAAAUCCAACAAAGUGGAAGGGAUGGAAGCGAAUUGUCUACACGAGACUUGCAGAAAAUGGUUCAAGCUUUACCACAAUACACUGAGCAAGUUGAAAAGAUUUCUCUCCAUGUGGAGAUUGCAGGAAAAAUUAACAGAAUCAUCAGAGAAACGGGACUUCGAGAGCUUGGGCAACUAGAGCAGGAUCUAGUUUUUGGAGAUGCGGGAGCCAAGGAUGUGAUCAAUUUUCUGAGGACAAAGCAGAAUGAAACUCCUGAAAAUAAGUUGCGUUUAUUAAUGAUUUAUGCGUCUGUCUAUCCUGAGAAGUUCGUUGGUGACAGAGGUUUAAAGCUAAUGCAGCUGGCAAGAUUAUCACGCGAGGACAUGAAGGUGGUAAAUAAUAUGCAAUUGAUAGGGGGAUCAUCAGAUGAUAAAAAGACAACUGGUAGCUUCUCACUCAAGUUCAAUACCCAGAAGACAAAGCAAGCAACAAGAAAAGAUCGCUCUAAUGAGGAAGAAACAUGGCAGCUAUUCCGAUUUUAUCCCAUGGUAGAGGAGCUUAUUGAAAAUCUAAGUAAAGGUGAAUUACCAAAAAAUGAAUUCUCAUGUAUCAACGAGGCAAGUCCAACUGUUCAAGGAGACUCGCAGAGAGCUACCCAGAGAGCACCAGUAGGUCAAGCUUCUGCUCCUUAUUCAAUGAGAUCGAAACGGACUGCAAAUUGGGCACAAACUCGUCAUUCUGACGAUGGAUACUUGACUCAAUUUUAAGAAUUGCAUCCACUGAUUUCAAGAAAAUGGGGCGACGUAUUUUUGUAUUUAUUAUUGGUGGGGCAACUCGAUCUGAGCUACGAGUUUGUCACAAGCUCACAACAAAACUCAGAAGGGAAGUAGUCCUUGGUUCUUCUAGCAUCGAUGACCCUCCUCAAUAUAUUACGAAACUGAAGCUGCUCUCGGAAAGAGAUCUCUCAAUGGAUAGUCUGAAAAUCUAACCAAAAAACAGGCUCCUGCUUAAAACCAGCAGGUUAGUUGUUGGCUCUCUCUCCUUGCAAUUUUUAUUCAAUGUUAGAAAUGCAGUGCUUGUUGAUACAUGGGAGAGCUGCACAACGCUUCUUGUUUUGGUUUUUUUACCCCCCACAGAAUCAAGGCCUGACACGCGAAGGAAAAAUUUAACCAGUUCAGUAAUGCGUUGUGCUUUUUCCUCAAAAACCGUGGCCUUCUCGUGGUGGCAAAGAGACAUGGUGAGAAAGGUGGCUUGUUCCAACGUUUCUAACCGAGUGCAUUCUACCGCAGAGCAUUCAAGAAUAUUGAGUCAAUUGUGUUGCAGUAGCAUUUAAACUGCGUUUCUUACACCUGUAUAUGAAACUUUCCCUUUAGCUUCGCAUUUUGUAUGACCUCGGUUUCCAGUCUAGGGGCUGAACUGAAUGGUAUAAAGUAGUGUAUUUGUGCUGAAAAUUUUGGACGGAUGGAAAAUUGAAAAUAAGUUUAGGGAGAGAAGCUGGGCAAAGGCAAGUCGAGUUGCCAUGACACAGUGGCAAGUUGUCCAUUUGCCAUGUGUUUUGAGAUAUUCUUCGAUUGUAGUUGGCAUUGAAGGAUUGUCUCGCAUGGUAUACCUGGAAGAAUGAUUGACAUUCUUUCACAAAUCCUAAUUUUUAUUGUUA
Carya illinoinensis is the source of this 2899-nucleotide RNA transcript. It is a transcript of the gene named protein transport Sec1a-like, with no coding region annotated. The record is from RefSeq and is a predicted model, not a curated record. NCBI's taxonomy places the organism in Eukaryota, Viridiplantae, Streptophyta, Magnoliopsida, Fagales, Juglandaceae. The transcript is spliced from 21 exons.